Molecule: long non-coding RNA, 519 nt
Filed under: Linum usitatissimum (flax)
Lineage: Eukaryota; Viridiplantae; Streptophyta; Magnoliopsida; Malpighiales; Linaceae
Description: long non-coding RNA (LUSI_LNC005721)
Source: RNAcentral
ACAGGCGAUGUAGCAUUUGUAGUCACAGAGCCAACUGGUGAAGCAGACGCUGAAAUGGACGCUUCGAUUACUCCCUUCAACAUCUUCUCUGGUGUUACAGGCACUGGCUUUUCAGAUUUACUGGAAGUCAGCCGUACAGCAUUUGAGGCUUCAACAGUCUCCUCGUCAACUGUGUCAGCUCGACUCUGGUCAAGCCCAUUCUCAUCCUUUGUAUGGUCCUUGUGUUCAUCGACUUCAGCAGGUUCAUUCCCAGCCAAAGGAGAAACCACAAACGAGGCUUCAACAGCCUCCUCGUCAACUGUGUCAGCUCGACUCUGGUCAAGCCCAUUCUCAUCCUUUGUAUGGUCCUUGUGUUCAUCGACUUCAGCAGGUUCAUUCCCAGCCAAAGGAGAAACCACAAAAGAUGUUCUUGUACGGCGAGCUAUUGUUGUAUGAUCGGCAACCUCCUCAGGUGGCGACUUUAUCUUAGCUGACCGUCCUCUUCUUAAAGAAGGCACUUUACAGUUGUUCGACGAAUCA